Molecule: long non-coding RNA, 1123 nt
Filed under: Mus musculus (house mouse)
Lineage: Eukaryota; Metazoa; Chordata; Mammalia; Rodentia; Muridae
Description: predicted gene, 48912
Source: RNAcentral
GACUCAGGAGCCUCAGGACCACAACGAGGAAGCUGUGUGUUUAGUGAGUCCUGCAGCUUCCUUCACAUGGCACAGCAUUUGGAAUUGAGGGUCCACCCUGAAGCAGUUUACUGUGGAUCCUCUGCUGAUGCUCGGCGACCAUGAGUUACAUUUUAAGAAGAGCUCCUACAUUCGGUCAGCACAGUUGCCUGACAGCUCUGGGAUAUCAGGCAGAUCUAUGUCUACUUUCCAGGGCAGUGGUUCUUGGACUUUUAACUGCAUGGUAGAAUCUCGUGGAUUUAGAACUCCUCCAUCUCAGGCUAAACUCCAGACCAAAGUCAUUAAACCUACAAGACAGGAUCCAGGCCUCUGAGCUUUGUGACGCUCCCUGGUGAUUCCAAUGUACCAUCAAGGCCAAGGCCUUCCUUCGGUCCUAGGGCAUCUGGAGAAAGCACAGAUUCUAACAUCUGUAGGGAUCAUCAGUGGCUUUCUCUGCAGACAGAACUCUUCAUUUCCUAUGGUUAGGGCUAUAUGCAUGGUUUAGAAGGCAUUUCUUAUGAAAAUGUGUUCCAGAGAGAGAGUCUGAACAUUUCUUUAGAGUGUUCAGCCACACUGUCGGAGCUCCAGCCCAGUCCACUGUUAUUCGAAUGAAUUGCCGCUGGUAUUUAAGCCUUCAUCCAUAGACUCAUGCCAGUGUGUUCUGCCCCUGCCUGGCCUUGAAAUACACAACACCAGCACUUCCUUUUGUCUGUAUCAAGAUGAUCUACAAAAUUUAUCAGUCUUCAGCUCUUUUUUGUCUUCCCAAGAGCCAGUAACAGAUCUCCAGUGAGCUGAAACAGGCAACACUGUAUGAAACAACAAAGAGAAACCAGACUGAGAGGAAACACCUGGACAGCAGCUGUCUGGUAAAGGACUUGUACCCAGGGGAUCUGAGGAACGCUGGCUCACAAGAGGACAAACUCUCAGUAAAAAGUGGACAGAAGAUUGGAACAGAUUCUUCAUCAAAGACAACAUUUGUAUGGCAACACCCACUUUUUGCCAUGAUACUUCCAUUUACUGUAUGCCCAGAAACAACGGAACCAAAGGAUCACAGAUUGGAACAUCAAAAUUUGUGAUCUAAUAAAAAAACAAAACACACCAACAA